UACGUAGGUGGCAAGCGUUGUCCGGAUUUACUGGGCGUAAAGAGCGCGCAGGCGGUCGUUCAAGUCGCGUGUGAAAGCCCCCGGCUCAACUGGGGAGGGUCACGCGAUACUGAUCGACUGGAAGGCAGGAGAGGGUAGUGGAAUUCCCGGUGUAGUGGUGAAAUUCGUAGAUAUCGGGAGGAACACCAGUGGCGAAGGCGGCCUUCUGGACGAACACUGACGCUGAGACGCGAAAGCGUGGGUAGCAAACAGG
RNAcentral lists this ribosomal RNA (253 nucleotides) under uncultured bacterium. RNAcentral's name for it is "partial 16S ribosomal RNA". It matches the Rfam family "Bacterial small subunit ribosomal RNA", at positions 524 to 776 of the family's 1533-position model. The record is from RNAcentral.